RNAcentral lists this ribosomal RNA (251 nucleotides) under uncultured bacterium. RNAcentral describes it as "partial 16S ribosomal RNA". It matches the Rfam family "Bacterial small subunit ribosomal RNA", at positions 57 to 305 of the family's 1533-position model. The record is from RNAcentral.
GCAAGUCGAGGGGUAACAGGGAUUGCUUGCAAUCCGCUGACGACCGGCGCACGGGUGCGUAACGCGUAUACAAUCUGCCUUGUACUAGGGGAUAGCCUUUGGAAACGAAGAUUAAUACCCUAUAGUAAGUGGCGAUGGCAUCAUCAUCACUUUAAAGGUUACGGUACAAGAUGAGUAUGCGUCCUAUUAGUUUGUUGGUAAGGUAACGGCUUACCAAGACUACGAUAGGUAGGGGCCCUGAGAGGGGGAUC